This 240-nucleotide ribosomal RNA is filed under the name uncultured bacterium. RNAcentral describes it as "partial 16S ribosomal RNA". It matches the Rfam family "Bacterial small subunit ribosomal RNA", at positions 29 to 294 of the family's 1533-position model. The record is from RNAcentral.
AGCGAACGCUGGCGGCAGGCUUAACACAUGCAAGUCGAGCGGGCGUAGCAAUACGUCAGCGGCAGACGGGUGAGUAACACGUGGGAACGUACCUUUUGGUUCGGAACAACACAGGGAAACUUGUGCUAAUACCGAAUAAGCCCUUACGGGGAAAGGAUUAUCGCCGAAAGAUCGGCCCGCGUCUGAUUAGCUUGUUGGUGAGGUAACGGCUCACCAAGGCGACGAUCAGUAGCUGGUCNG